GGCCUCGUAGCUCAGUCUGGUAGAGCACUCUGCGGUACUAAAGCGAGGGUGGAGGACAUGGCGGUGGGUUCGAAUCUCCGCCGAGGCCA
RNAcentral lists this transfer RNA (89 nucleotides) under Fasciola gigantica. Its description in RNAcentral is "tRNA-Arg". It matches the Rfam family "tRNA". Rfam says of the family: Transfer RNA (tRNA) molecules are approximately 80 nucleotides in length. Their secondary structure includes four short double-helical elements and three loops (D, anti-codon, and T loops). Lineage: Eukaryota; Metazoa; Platyhelminthes; Trematoda; Plagiorchiida; Fasciolidae. The record is from RNAcentral.